GAUGAACGCUGGCGGCGUGCCUAAUACAUGCAAGUCGAACGCUUUAUCUUUAAUUGAUAUGAAGAGCUUGCUCUGAUUUGAUUUUAUCUGACAAAGAGUGGCGAACGGGUGAGUAACACGUGGGUAACCUACCUCUUAGCAGGGGAUAACAUUUGGAAACAAGUGCUAAUACCGUAUAACACUAACAACCGCAUGGUUGUUAGUUGAAAGAUGGUUCUGCUAUCACUAAGAGAUGGACCCGCGGUGCAUUAGCUAGUUGGUAAGGUAAUGGCUUACCAAGGCGAUGAUGCGUAGCCGAGUUGAGAGACUGAUCGGCCACAAUGGGACUGAGACACGGCCCAUACUCCUACGGGAGGCAGCAGUAGGGAAUCUUCCACAAUGGGCGCAAGCCUGAUGGAGCAACGCCGCGUGUGUGAUGAAGGGUUUCGGCUCGUAAAACACUGUUAUAAGAGAAGAACGACAUUGAGAGUAACUGUUCAGUGUGUGACGGUAUCUUAUCAGAAAGGAACGGCUAAAUACGUG
RNAcentral lists this ribosomal RNA (522 nucleotides) under uncultured bacterium. RNAcentral describes it as "partial 16S ribosomal RNA". It matches the Rfam family "Bacterial small subunit ribosomal RNA", at positions 28 to 507 of the family's 1533-position model. The record is from RNAcentral.